Molecule: ribosomal RNA, 253 nt
Filed under: uncultured bacterium
Lineage: Bacteria
Description: partial 16S ribosomal RNA
Rfam family: Bacterial small subunit ribosomal RNA
Source: RNAcentral
UACGUAGGGGGCAAGCGUUGUCCGGAAUUAUUGGGCGUAAAGAGCUCGUAGGCGGUCUGUCGCGUCUGCUGUGAAAGCCUAGGGCUUAACCCUGGGCCUGCAGUGGGUACGGGCAGACUAGAGUGCGGUAGGGGAGACUGGAAUUCCUGGUGUAGCGGUGAAAUGCGCAGAUAUCAGGAGGAACACCGGUGGCGAAGGCGGGUCUCUGGGCCGUAACUGACGCUGAGGAGCGAAAGCAUGGGUAGCGAACAGG